AAACUUAAAGGAAUUGACGGGACCCGCACAAGCAGCGGAGCGUGUGGUUUAAUUCGAUGCUACACGAAGAACCUUACCAGGGUUUGACAUGCAAGUGGUAGGAAUCUGAAAAGGGACCGACCUUCGGGGAGCUUGCACAGGUGCUGCAUGGCUGUCGUCAGCUCGUGUCGUGAGAUGUUCGGUUAAGUCCGCUAACGAGCGCAACCCUCACUGUGUGUUAUAUGUGUCACACGGGACUGCCGGUUUUAAGCCGGAGGAAGGUGGGGAUGACGUCAAGUCAGCAUGGCCUUUAUAUCCUGGGCUACACACACGCUACAAUGGUCGGUACAAUAGGUUGCCAAGCCGCGAGGCGGAGCCAAUCCACAAAGCCGGCCUCAGUUCAGAUUGUAGGCUGCAACUCGCCUGCAUGAAGAUGGAGUUGCUAGUAACCGCAGGUCAGCAAUACUGCGGUGAAUACGUUCCCGGGUCUU
This 470-nucleotide ribosomal RNA is filed under the name uncultured Anaerolineaceae bacterium. Its description in RNAcentral is "bacterial SSU rRNA". It matches the Rfam family "Bacterial small subunit ribosomal RNA", at positions 897 to 1382 of the family's 1533-position model. Lineage: Bacteria; Bacillati; Chloroflexota; Anaerolineae; Anaerolineales; Anaerolineaceae. The record is from RNAcentral.